This 253-nucleotide ribosomal RNA is filed under the name uncultured bacterium. RNAcentral's name for it is "partial 16S ribosomal RNA". It matches the Rfam family "Bacterial small subunit ribosomal RNA", at positions 524 to 776 of the family's 1533-position model. The record is from RNAcentral.
UACGUAGGGGGCAAGCGUUGUCCGGAUUUAUUGGGCGUAAAGAGCGUGUAGGCGGCCAGGUAGGUCUGCUGUGAAAACUCGAGGCUUAACCUCGAGCUGUCGGCGGAAACCAUCUGGCUAGAGUCCGGAAGAGGAGAAUGGAAUUCCCGGUGUAGCGGUGAAAUGCGUAGAUAUCGGUAGGAAUACCUAUGGCGAAAGCAGGCUACUGGACCAUCACUGACGCUGAUCUGCGAAAGCUAGGGGAGCAAACAGG